Molecule: long non-coding RNA, 284 nt
Filed under: Nicotiana benthamiana
Lineage: Eukaryota; Viridiplantae; Streptophyta; Magnoliopsida; Solanales; Solanaceae
Description: long non-coding RNA (NBEN_LNC005188)
Source: RNAcentral
AUACUCCCUCACAGCAGAGUAGCUGCACUGUUUUAUCACUACUGUUUGCUCACCCAAGUCUGAUCCUAUUCUGGUUCAGAGGUUUUGAACUAUCGCUUUCCGUUGGAAAUUUUUCCGGCAACUCCCGCGCUUUUAGUUCCAUUAUUUCCGCUGCCUUUGUGGGUGUGUGUGGGUGUGUUUUGUUUUCUUGGACAGGUGCCUAUCUCUCCGGCGAGGAUCCCCGGCAACUCUCGUACAGACUCGCGGCAGGAUGCAAUAGAGCCGCACAUUCUGCUAAGAUUCAG